Molecule: ribosomal RNA, 462 nt
Filed under: uncultured microorganism
Description: bacterial SSU rRNA
Rfam family: Bacterial small subunit ribosomal RNA
Source: RNAcentral
GAGUUUGAUCGUGGCUCAGGAUGAACGCUGGCGGCGUGCCUAACACAUGCAAGUCGAACGGAGUUCUUAAGGAAUGCGGCUUCGGCCAAAUGACUUUUGAACUUAGUGGCGGACGGGUGAGUAACGCGUGAGCAACCUGCCUUUCAGAGGGGGAUAACAUUUGGAAACAGAUACUAAUACCGCAUAAGAUUACAGUACCGCGUGAUACAGUGAUCAAAGGAGCAAUCCGCUGAAAGAUGGGCUCGCGUCCGAUUAGAUAGUUGGUGAGGUAACGGCUCGCCAAGUCGACGAUCGGUAGCCGGACUGAGAGGUUGGACGGCCACAUUGGGACUGAGACACGGCCCAGACUCCUACGGGAGGCAGCAGUGGGGAAUAUUGCACAAUGGGCGAAAGCCUGAUGCAGCAACGCCGCGUGAGGGAAGACGGUUUUCGGACUGUAAACCUCUGUUUUCGGUGACGAAC